This 492-nucleotide ribosomal RNA is filed under the name uncultured bacterium. Its description in RNAcentral is "partial 16S ribosomal RNA". It matches the Rfam family "Bacterial small subunit ribosomal RNA", at positions 29 to 507 of the family's 1533-position model. The record is from RNAcentral.
AGUGAACGCUGGCGGUAGGCCUAACACAUGCCAGUCGAACGGCAGCACAGUAAGAGCUUGCUCUUACGGGUGGCGAGUGGCGGACGGGUGAGGAAUACAUCGGAAUCUACUUUUUCGUGGGGGAUAACGUAGGGAAACUUACGCUAAUACCGCAUACGACCUACGGGUGAAAGCAGGGGAUCUUCGGACCUUGCGCGAUUGAAUGAGCCGAUGUCGGAUUAGCUAGUUGGCGGGGUAAAGGCCCACCAAGGCGACGAUCCGUAGCUGGUCUGAGAGGAUGAUCAGCCACACUGGAACUGAGACACGGUCCAGACUCCUACGGGAGGCAGCAGUGGGGAAUAUUGGACAAUGGGCGCAAGCCUGAUCCAGCCAUACCGCGUGGGUGAAGAAGGCCUUCGGGUUGUAAAGCCCUUUUGUUGGGAAAGAAAAGCAGCGGGUUAAUACCCCGCUGUUCUGACGGUACACAAAGAAUAAGCACCGGCUAACUUCGUG